Triticum aestivum (bread wheat) is the source of this 115-nucleotide non-coding RNA. Lineage: Eukaryota; Viridiplantae; Streptophyta; Magnoliopsida; Poales; Poaceae. The record is from Rfam.
GACCUACUCCCUCCGUUCUAAAUUGCUCGUCGUAGAAAUGGAUGUAUCUAGAACUAAAAUACAUCUAAAUACAUCCAUACCUGCGACAAGUAAUUCGGAACGGAGGGAGUAGCAG